RNAcentral lists this ribosomal RNA (333 nucleotides) under uncultured Fusibacter sp. RNAcentral's name for it is "bacterial SSU rRNA". It matches the Rfam family "Bacterial small subunit ribosomal RNA", at positions 1051 to 1382 of the family's 1533-position model. The record is from RNAcentral. Lineage: Bacteria; Bacillati; Bacillota; Clostridia; Eubacteriales; Fusibacteraceae.
GUCGUCAGCUCGUGUCGUGAGAUGUUGGGUUAAGUCCCGCAACGAGCGCAACCCUUGUGUUUAGUUGCAAACAGGUCAAGCUGUGCACUCUAGACAGACUGCCGUGGACGAACACGGAGGAAGGUGGGGAUGACGUCAAAUCAUCAUGCCCCUUAUGAUCUGGGCUACACACGUGCUACAAUGGCCGGUACAACGGGCAGCGAAGGAGCGAUCCGGAGCGAAUCCUAAAAAGCCGGUCCCAGUUCGGAUUGCAGGCUGAAACUCGCCUACAUGAAGUUGGAGUUGCUAGUAAUCGCGAAUCAGAAUGUCGCGGUGAAUGCGUUCCCGGGUCUU